This is an RNA transcript of Brassica rapa (field mustard), 1856 nucleotides long. RefSeq lists it as uncharacterized. NCBI's taxonomy places the organism in Eukaryota, Viridiplantae, Streptophyta, Magnoliopsida, Brassicales, Brassicaceae. The record is from RefSeq and is a predicted model, not a curated record.
AACAACAGCUUUCAACAUCUUUGCGUGUCAGCGGUACAAAAAUCUGGAUUACAUUAUCAGUUGAUGCCUUAUGAUCAGAACAUGAUGUGUAUGGGUAACAACUUUCAAGAUCCUUGCGUCUCAAACAUACAAGAUUACUCAGUGUUCCCACCAGAGUUACAAGAAUCUGUGAGUAACUACGCGUUUAAUCAGUUGAUGCAGCAUGAGCUUUUUGGCUUUGAUCAGAAUAUGUGUAUGGGUGAUACUACCAACAGCUUCAACGUUGUAGAUCCUUGUCUCUCAGAUGACAUCUGCUUUGAUUUUCAGGACCUUUAUAGUGGUUUCAUGGUCGGUAACCCUAGCUUCCCUCAAGAUUUUAAUCCCGAUAUGUCUUCAAGCUAUGUUGAUGAGAACAGACUACUUCAGGCAUCUACUCUACCAUCUCUCUAGCUCCAACCUUCCUAACGAAACUCUGAGAUUCCUAGCAAUUUACCUGAUAAAUUAGCUGAUCAUAGAAAGAAAGUGAAGCUGUUUAUGCAUCUGCAUGUUUUUAUUUUAAAUACGCACAUAUAAAUAAAUGUAACUGCAAAACACAGGUUUUGUUCGGUUCAGUACACUAUUCAUAUCUUUAUAUAUAAAAUAGACUUUCAAUCACUCCUGAUGCUGCCAGCAAGGACGACACGUCAGAAAUAGGAAGUCUCACGCGACGACACGUGUCCAAGGAGGUCAAUGCGCUGCGUUUCAUUUAACACUGAGUUGCGUCUAGGGUUAUACCCGUGUUCUUCUUCGCCUCUUCAGCGAUCUUCCAUCAUCUUCUUCAUCACAAAGAUAUCAGUUACAGAUUAAUACCCUUAAAAACCUCAAUUAAUAUUUCAUUCAUGAUCUUCAUUCAAUGAGAGUGGAGAUUCUAAUAUAAAAAGAUAUGCAGGCUGACCGCUCCUCCUCCACUGUUCGGUUGAUCCGUUUCUGGGAGUCCAGGAAUCUCCGCCGUAAUGGAGACCUCAAGGGAGUGGUUAUGAUCCUGCUGAAUUCUCAGUUCCUGUCGAGUGUCUUAACCCUGAUGGAUUUCAAGGUCACCGAGAAUGGCUGCGAGAACUACUUGGGGCAGUUAAAGUCACCAGAACUUAGUUAAACUAAUUGGUUAUUGCUUGGAAGAUGAACAACAGCCUCUUUUGUACGAUUUUAUGCAUAAGGGUAGUUUUGAGGACCAUCUGUUCACAAGUGAAUUCAUAAAUAUAGAUUUUAUUGAAACUAUCAGGAGGUUGUUCGUUCUUAUGUCUCAGUGGUGUUGAAGCAGAUGAUGUGCAGUUAAAGCCUCUCUUGUGGACCUUAUUUGUUAAUGUUUCUCUUGAUGCAGCUAAAGAGCUCGCAUUCCUUCAUGGCAACACUGUUAAAGUCAUAUACCGAGACAUCAAGGCCUCUAAGAUCUUGCUCGACCCGUCUAUGACUACAAUGGAAAUUUUCCAGACUUUGGUUUAGCAAGGAACUGUCCAAGGGAGAAACAAGCUAUGGUAUUAGAAGUGUCAUGGGUACAAUUGGCUAUGAAGCUCUCAAAUUGGGAUGCUCGCAGAUUCUCGAAAAAUAAUGGGAUUGACAAAAUAAUGUUUGAGAAAACACAGAGAGAUCUAUCAGACAUGCUUCAUAAUUGGAAGAACAAGAGAUGCAAAUAUAAUAGAGAAAAAGAGAGCUUUGUCUUUUUCUUCCUCUUUUUUUUUUACUGAAAUAACAAACAUUUUUUUUGAAAAUAUACUAAUAGUUUAUCCUUUAUCUUAUUACUAAGGAAAAACUAUUUAAAUUUUGGUUAACAUUUAGAAAUGUAAAUUUUACUCUCAGUUGAAGGGAAGAAACAGUGUUUUAUUAUAAUAGAUCUUCCACUA